CCCUUAGAUGUUCUGGGCCGCACGCGCGCUACACUGAUGCAUUCAACGAGCCUAUCCUUGACCGACAGGUCCGGGUAAUCUUUGAAUCUGCAUCGUGACGGGGAGAGAUUAUUGCAAUUAUUAAUCUUCAACGAGGAAUGCCUAGUAGGCGCAAGUCAUCAGCUUGCGUCGAUUACGUCCCUGCCCUUUGUACACACCGCCCGUCGCUCCUACCGAUUGGGUGUGCUGGUGAAAUGUUCGGAUCGGCCGUUUGUCGCGGUUUCCGCGUCAUGUGGCUGAGAAGUUCAUUAAACCCUCCCACCUAGAGGAAGGAGAAGUCGUAACA
RNAcentral lists this ribosomal RNA (325 nucleotides) under uncultured eukaryote. Its description in RNAcentral is "partial 18S ribosomal RNA". It matches the Rfam family "Eukaryotic small subunit ribosomal RNA", at positions 1470 to 1796 of the family's 1831-position model. The record is from RNAcentral.